UCUGCAAAACUGGCAAGGGACAUCCGGGUAUGGGUGCUUGAUGAAGAAGGAAUUAGAUCUAAAGAAUAACAAGCAUUUGAUCAAGAGGAUUGUUGGUAGUGGUCAAUUUCUGUUGCCUUUGGGAGAUUUUAUCUAUAUCAUUUUUUUCCAAUGAAUUACUAAGUGUGGUUGUCAAACAAGCUCAACAAUGUGUAAUAAGGCAAGUCCUGUGUAAAUAGAAUUUUAUUCUGUAAGCAAUUCUACACUCAAUCGAGGAAAGAUUGUUUUUCACAGUAUAACAACUAAAACGGAUCUAAAAGUACUCAAUAAGUUUUUUGACUUCUUACUGUAGUUAAAAUUGAGAAACUCAUGCAAAUACUAACAUAAUAAGAUAGCUAUCGCACUAAGCUAUGUUAGUCUCAAGGGUCAGAUAAGUCAUGGAUCUACAAUACAAAUUGCUUUUCACUGAAAUUUGCUGCAUGUGUACAAGGUUCUAAGGUUUGAUCACGACCAAUUUGAAACACACCUAGUUUCAGAGUCCUGCUCAGUUUCAGUCAGUUUGAACUAAUUUAAGUGGUUUUAGCCUUUUUUCUCCCAAAUUUGAUUGGUUUUGAUUCUCUCCCUCACCCCUCCUCUCUCUCUCUCUCUCUGUGUAUGUAUCUCUCUCCUUGUGUGCUCAUGUACAUAUUUUUGUGUUUGUGACUUGUGAAUGUGCGGGUACACACAGCCAGUGGAGACAUGUCUGAUAAAA
Molecule: long non-coding RNA, 730 nt
Filed under: Phoenix dactylifera (date palm)
Lineage: Eukaryota; Viridiplantae; Streptophyta; Magnoliopsida; Arecales; Arecaceae
Description: long non-coding RNA (PDAC_LNC003204)
Source: RNAcentral